GAUGAACGCUGACAGAAUGCUUAACACAUGCAAGUCUUUGGCGAAGCUGUGCUUGCACAGCCUAGCCAAGGCGGACGGGUGAGUAACGCGUAAGGAACUUGCCCUGCAGUCAGGGAUAACAGACGGAAACGACUGAUAAGACCUGGUAAAGUCAGGCGGACUCAUGUCCAGCCUGAUGAAAAGAGAUGCUGCAGGAGAGCCUUGCGUCCUAUUAGCUUGUUGGUGGGGUAACGGCCCACCAAGGCGAUGAUAGGUAGCCGGCCUGAGAGGGUGGACGGCCACAAGGGGGCUGGGAUACGGCCCUUACUCCUACGGGAGGCAGCAGUGGGGAAUAUUGGACAAUGGGGGCAACCCUGAUCCAGCAAUUCUGUGUGCACGAUGAAGGUUUUCGGAUUGUAAAGUGCUUUCAGCAGGGAAGAAAAAAAUGACGGUACCUGCAGAAGAAGCGACGGCUAAAUACGUG
RNAcentral lists this ribosomal RNA (463 nucleotides) under uncultured bacterium. RNAcentral's name for it is "partial 16S ribosomal RNA". It matches the Rfam family "Bacterial small subunit ribosomal RNA", at positions 28 to 507 of the family's 1533-position model. The record is from RNAcentral.